GAUGAACGCUGACAGAAUGCUUAACACAUGCAAGUCGAUUCGAUUUACCUUCGGGUAUUGAGGAUGGCGGACGGGUGAGUAACGCGUAAGGAACUUGCCUCUUGGUCUGGGACAACUGUUGGAAACGACAGCUAAUACCGGAUAUUAUGAGAUUCUCGCAUGGGAAACUUAUGAAAGCUAUAUGCGCCAAGAGAGAGCCUUGCGUUCCAUUAGCUAGUUGGUGGGGUAACGGCCCACCAAGGCGACGAUGGAUAGCCGGCCUGAGAGGGUGAACGGCCACAAGGGGACUGAGACACGGCCCUUACUCCUACGGGAGGCAGCAGUGGGGAAUAUUGGACAAUGGGCCACAAGCCUGAUCCAGCAAUUCUGUGUGCACGAUGAAGGUCUUCGGAUUGUAAAGUGCUUUCAGUUGGGAAGAAGAAAGUGACGGUACCAACAGAAGAAGCGACGGCUAAAUACGUGCCAGCAGCCGCGGUAAUACGUAUGUCGCAAGCGUUAUCCGGAUUUAUUGGGCGUAAAGCGCGUCUAGGCGGAAAAAUAAGUCUGAUGUUAAAAUGCGGGGCUCAACUCCGUAUUGCNUUGGAAACUGUUUUUCUAGAGUACUGGAGAGGUGGGCGGAACUACAAGUGUANAGGUGAAAUUC
RNAcentral lists this ribosomal RNA (643 nucleotides) under uncultured prokaryote. RNAcentral describes it as "bacterial SSU rRNA". It matches the Rfam family "Bacterial small subunit ribosomal RNA", at positions 28 to 689 of the family's 1533-position model. The record is from RNAcentral.